GAAUUCACUAGUGAUUGAGUUUGAUCAUGGCUCAGAUUGAACGCUGGCGGCAUGCCUUACACAUGCAAGUCGAACGGUAACAGCACUUCGGUGGCUGACGAGUGGCGAACGGGUGAGUAAUACAUCGGAACGUGCCCGAGAGUGGGGGAUAACGCAGCGAAAGCUGUGCUAAUACCGCAUACGAUCUACGGAUGAAAGCAGGGGACCGCAAGGCCUUGCGCUCAUGGAGCGGCCGAUGGCAGAUUAGGUAGUUGGUGGGAUAAAAGCUUACCAAGCCGACGAUCUGUAGCUGGUCUGAGAGGACGACCAGCCACACUGGGACUGAGACACGGCCCAGACUCCUACGGGAGGCAGCAGUGGGGAAUUUUGGACAAUGGGCGAAAGCCUGAUCCAGCCAUGCCGCGUGCAGGAUGAAGGCCUUCGGGUUGUAAACUGCUUUUGUACGGAACGAAAAGGUCUUUUCUAAUAAAGAAGGCUCAUGACGGUACCGUAAGAAUAAGCACCGGCUAACUACGUGCCAGCAGCCGCGGUAAUACGUAGGGGUGCAAGCAUUAAUCGGAA
RNAcentral lists this ribosomal RNA (561 nucleotides) under uncultured beta proteobacterium. RNAcentral's name for it is "bacterial SSU rRNA". It matches the Rfam family "Bacterial small subunit ribosomal RNA", at positions 1 to 550 of the family's 1533-position model. The record is from RNAcentral. Lineage: Bacteria; Pseudomonadati; Pseudomonadota; Betaproteobacteria.